This 253-nucleotide ribosomal RNA is filed under the name uncultured bacterium. Its description in RNAcentral is "partial 16S ribosomal RNA". It matches the Rfam family "Bacterial small subunit ribosomal RNA", at positions 524 to 776 of the family's 1533-position model. The record is from RNAcentral.
UACAGAGGUCUCAAGCGUUGUUCGGAUUCAUUGGGCGUAAAGGGUGCGUAGGUGGCGCGGUAAGUCGGGUGUGAAAUUUCGGAGCUUAACUCCGAAACUGCAUUCGAUACUGUCGUGCUUGAGGACUGGAGAGGAGACUGGAAUUUACGGUGUAGCGGUGAAAUGCGUAGAUAUCGUAAGGAAGACCAGUGGCGAAGGCGGGUCUCUGGACAGUUCCUGACGCUGAGGCACGAAGGCCAGGGGAGCAAACGGG